Molecule: ribosomal RNA, 99 nt
Filed under: uncultured bacterium
Lineage: Bacteria
Description: partial 16S ribosomal RNA
Rfam family: Bacterial small subunit ribosomal RNA
Source: RNAcentral
UACACACCGCCCGUCACACCAUGGGAGUGGGUUGCACCAGAAGUUGGUAGCCUAACCGUAAGGAGGGCGCUGACCACGGUGUGGUUCAUGACUGGGGUG